UUUAUUUAUUUAUUUUUAAAUUGUCCAGCAGAUCUCAUGAUAAAAUGGUUGUGUAUUUUUAUUGCUAUACAGAGUCCAAAACGGAGCAGCUUCACACACGGGAUCACUGAAUCAUGAUAGUCUUCUAAUCACUACACGGUAGGUAAAGGAGACCACCACAAUUUAGGAUUCUGGAUCAGAGAUUAAAUUAAAAACUCAGAAAUCAUUCAGCAGCUCACGGCUUCACUAAAAAGCUCUCUGUGAACAAAACGCAUAGAACAACAUGGUGUAGUCUUUAAAUACUUACCUGUAGAUGAACCGCAGCCUUCGUUAUUCAAGUUAACACUGUUUCAGUAAUAUAUUCUAAUAAUAUAUACCUGCUAGGCUAACGCUAACUGCAGCUUGGAGACAUUAUUCAAGUAUAAAUGGAAUGAUUCAUCACGUAAACCAGUUUUUUCAUACGCACCUCAUUUCCUCCUUCUGCUUCUUCUUCUUCUUCUUUCUUCUGUGAAGCAGCUCUCUGGUUCUUCUAGCGCUGGACAAGUCUUUUAAUAAAUAAACACAAACCGCUUGUGUUAACAUCAACAUACAUUUAUAAAUUACAUUUUAAAUGAAAGUUUCUCACAUUUGAAGGAAAUCUGUGUAUUUCACUGUAAUGGACUUCUGAUGUUUUUAUCAAGAGGAGUCAAACUGAAGCUGUAGUUGUGCAGAGUAGCGAUGUGUUUCGAUUCAAAGUGAAUCAGAUCUCACUUAGACGGGUAGUUGGCAAGAAUCAGUAAAGUGUGUCGUAAUAGUGAGUCAAAUUAAUUAAAACACACUCAGAAGGAUAGUUUGAAAGAUGUGACUCGGUAAGUACAGUCUCAGAAAUAUGCCUAUGUUCUUCCUGUUAAUUCGGGCUCUUCUAUUUCCUACAGAUGGACAAGGAUUAUAUUAAUAGUCAACAGCACCCUGAGUAUUUCUGCUUAAUGGAAUCCAAAUAAACGGCACCAAUCCUAAUACGAUUAAACAUUAGUGAGAUUAAUGAUGAUCCUUAGAGCUGGAAUAUCUGCUGUGUCUCCAGUUCAAGUAUAAAAUCAGCCACCAGAUGGCAGUGUCUAAUGAAAUAUUAUUAAACUAUCGUGUGGGUAAAUCAGUAUGUUUACUGGACAACAAUAAUCCGAUAUUAACCCGAUUAAGACGAUACUCUGAUCAAGAAACUAGCAUGUAAAUAAAAAAUUUUUUAUUACCUUAAUCCGAUUAAAGUCAUACUCGAAGUAAACACAAAACAAAUUAAGACGUGUGGAGUAUUUCUGUUUUAGUCGAUCUGUGUUUUAUAAUAUAUAAAACAGGGAUAUUCUAAAAGCGACUCAUGUAAACACCUUAAUCACAGUAUUGUCUUAUUCAGAAUAAGGUCAAUAAUUAGAUUACCGCUGUCCAUAUAAAUGUUUUCACAUGAAAUGUAGACCCGACAUGGGUGUUAACUCGAUGAAGCUACACCGCUAAAGAAAUCAUAAUAUACCAAUCCAUAAAAAAGUUAUGUGCAAUAAAGUGGAAUGACACAGGAAUUAAGUAUUGAACAAGAAAAAACAGUUCUCCUACCUGUGCUAAUUAGAAUCAGCUGGGUUAGUGUAUGAUGGUAGGUUAGUACGUCCACUCUGUGGAAAAGGGGAACCCACCUCUGAAUACAAGUAAACAAAUCAUUUGUCACCAAACUGUCGCGCAAGAAACAUCUCAUGAUGAGUAGAAGCAAAGCGCUCUCCAAAGAAUUACUCCCAAAUGUUCCUUUAAGCACCAUUAGGUGACUAUCAACCGGCCACACGCAGGAGCUCCUCGCAAGAUUUCUGACAGGGCUGACAAAGUUACGCAGAGGAGAAGCCCAAGAGCCGAGGACCACUCGAAAAGCUCUCCAGAAAGAACUGGAAGCAGCGAGUACAGUCGUCAGAGAAAGCAAUAUGCAGUGCGCAAUACUGCUACAGUCUCCAUUCACCAUCACGCCUUGAUUCCAUUACUGUAGAAAAGGCAUGUUGAAGCUCGUUUCAAGCUUGCUACAGAACAUUUGGAGAAGCCUGUAGGUUACUGGGAGAAUGUAAUGAGGUCAGACGAGACAAAGAUCAAACUGUUCAAUGCUCUAUUGUUUUCUCUGCAUACGACUCUAAAAAUGAAGUUCGGAGGUGGAAGCAUCACGG
This is a long non-coding RNA of Ictalurus punctatus (channel catfish), 2144 nucleotides long. NCBI's taxonomy places the organism in Eukaryota, Metazoa, Chordata, Actinopteri, Siluriformes, Ictaluridae. The record is from Ensembl.